GGAUAAUGAUGACACCGUGUGAUAAGGUCUCGUUCGUCGUAAUGGUGAGAAUGAAUGUUCUAACCUUGACGACCAUCCUGUUAUAUCACCACUCAUAAACUGAGUCC
RNAcentral lists this small nucleolar RNA (107 nucleotides) under Helianthus annuus (common sunflower). RNAcentral's name for it is "Small nucleolar RNA Z43". It matches the Rfam family "Small nucleolar RNA Z43". Rfam says of the family: Z43 is a member of the C/D class of snoRNA which contain the C (UGAUGA) and D (CUGA) box motifs. Most of the members of the box C/D family function in directing site-specific 2'-O-methylation of substrate RNAs. The record is from RNAcentral. Lineage: Eukaryota; Viridiplantae; Streptophyta; Magnoliopsida; Asterales; Asteraceae.